Molecule: microRNA, 22 nt
Filed under: Equus caballus (horse)
Lineage: Eukaryota; Metazoa; Chordata; Mammalia; Perissodactyla; Equidae
Description: eca-miR-1255b
Source: miRBase by way of RNAcentral
CGGAUAAGCAAAGAAAGUGGUU